Molecule: ribosomal RNA, 443 nt
Rfam family: Bacterial large subunit ribosomal RNA
AGCCUAAAGUUAAGCUUUAGCGAUUUUAGGUGAAACCUGCCCAAUGCCUUUUAGGUGAAUGGCCGCAGUACCCUGACUGUGCUAAGGUAGCAUAAUCAGUUGGCUUUUAAAUGGAGUCGUGUAUGAAUGGAUUAAUGGGGUUGAGCUGUCUCUGCUAGAUUUAUUCGAAUUUGAUAAAAAGGUGAAAAUGCCUUUAUACAGAUAAAGGACGAUAAGACCCUUGGAGUUUUCACUAGUAAAGCUGAUUGCUUCGUUGUUUUUGCUGGGGCGGCACAGAGGAAAUUCUUAACCCUCUGAGAACAUAGGCCGAGAUUUUUAAGUGCAAUUAAACUACCCGAGGGAUAACAGCAUUAUUCUCUAUAGAGUUUGUGACCUCGAUGUUGGACUAGGAAUUAAUCAGGCUAGCCGCUUGAAUAUAUUGUUCUGUUCGAACUUCUCUUCCU